CCUCGUCCCCAACUGGGGGGAAACAGAGUCCCAAGGAGAAGCGAUUUACUUGCCCAGUGUCACACGGCUGGGGGCGCGGGGACAGGAUGGAGAGGAGCCUGAAAUGAAGGAAAAGUCGGCCAAGCCGAUAUGAGGUCAUGGAUGAAAUGUGCUUUAGAACAAUGCCUGGCUCAAGACAGAAAGCAGCACUGUCAAGAGUUCAAAGCAGAGACUCCUGACAGCAUUAGCGCCACCCCACGUGCCACAUGGCAGACUGGCUUCUGCUCCCAGCUGCUGGCAGGUGCCCCCAGCAGCAGCUCUCAGUGCUGGCUCCACAUCAGAACCACCUGGGACUUUCAAAAUCCUGACACCUGGGCCCCACCCCCAGAGCUGCUAAUGGAGCUCACCCAGGGUGGGGCCUGGGCAUGGGGACUUUCAGAAUCUUGCCAAGGGGUUCAACGUCCAGCCAGGGCUGAAGACGACUGACCCUGAAUGGUUACCCGUAAUGCCCGGCACAUGUCGUCGAGGGGGAAAAGCGAGUUGAGGGAUCUGCACGAUGCUUGGCACAUAGUAGGUGCUCAGUACGUGUUCACUGCAGGGUUGAUGUGUACAGAGUGGCUUCCCUGCCUUUUUAUUUUCUUCCAUCACACAGGACAGAGCUGGGGUGGCCCCGGCCACACACACCAGGGUCCUUCUGGAAGGUGGACCGGGGGGGCGGGGGGAGAUCACUUACACUUUUUAACGUAUGUGCUUCUCGAGCUGCCAUUUUUCACUCCAAACAUGUAUCCUUUUAACAGUUAAUAGUAAAGAAAAUGACUUGCCAGCUGUUAA
Molecule: long non-coding RNA, 810 nt
Organism: Pteropus alecto (black flying fox)
Lineage: Eukaryota; Metazoa; Chordata; Mammalia; Chiroptera; Pteropodidae
Exons: 3
Source: RefSeq, a predicted model, not a curated record